AGACGAAGGCGUGAUGCGGAGCGAAAUGAAGUAGUGAAGCUGCGGCCCCUUCCUGUCGAGAAAAGCCGCUAUCGUGUAGCAAGGGCCCGUACCGUAAACCGACACAGGUGGAUGAGGAGAGGAUCCUAAGGCCGGCGGGAGAAGUGUUGUUAAGGAACUCGGCAAAAUGACUCCGUAACUUCGGGAGAAGGAGUGCUGCGCAAGCAGCCGCAGAGAAAUGGCCCAAGCAACUGUUUAGCAAAAACACAGGUCUAUGCGAAACCGGAAGGUGAGGUAUAUGGGCUGACGCCUGCCCGGUGCUGGAAGGUUAAGGGGAGAGCUUAGCGCGAGCGAAGGUUUGAACUUAAGCCCCAGUAAACGGCGGCCGUAACUAUAACGGUCCUAAGGUAGCGAAAUUCCUUGUCGGGUAAGUUCCGACCCGCACGAAAGGCGUAAUGAUUUGGGCACUGUCUCAACAACACACCCGGUGAAAUUGAAAUACCAGUGAAGAUGCUGGUUACCCGCGCCAGGACGGAAAGACCCCAUGGAGCUUUACUCCAGCCUGAUACUGGGAUUCGGUAUUGCAUGUACAGGAUAGGUGGGAGGCUAAGAACUCAUGGCGCCAGCCGUGAGGGAGCCGAUGUUGGGAUACCACCCCUGCAGUACUGGGUUUCUAACCUGCGCCCGUGACCCGGGCGGGGGACAAUGUCAGGCGGGGAGUUUGACUGGGGCGGUCGCCUCCGAAAGGGUAUCGGAGGCGCUCAAAGGUCUCCUCAGGAUGGUUGGAAACCAUCCAGAGAGUGCAAAGGCAGAAGGAGGCUUGACUGCGACACCGACGGGUGGAGCAGGUACGAAAGUAGGACUUAGUGAUCCGGUGGCAUAAAGUGGGAUUGCCAUCGCUCAACGGAUAAAAGCUACCCUGGGGAUAACAGGCUUAUCACUCCCAAGAGUUCACAUCGACGGAGUGGUUUGGCACCUCGAUGUCGGCUCAUCGCAUCCUGGAGCUGGAGCAGGUUCCAAGGGUUGGGCUGUUCGCCCAUUAAAGCGGUACGCGAGCUGGGUUCAGAACGUCGUGAGACAGUUCGGUCCCUAUCCGGCGCGGGCGCAGGAUAUCUGAGAGGAGCUGUCCUUAGUACGAGAGGACCGGGAUGGACCGUCCGCUGGUGGACCGGUUGUCAUGCCAAUGGCACGGCCGGGUAGCCAAGACGGGAAGGGAUAAACGCUGAAGGCAUCUAAGCGUGAAGCCCCCCUCAAGAUGAGAUAUCCAUACUCGAAAGAGUGAGAGACCCCUUAGAGACGAUGAGGUAGAUAGGGCAGAGAUGGAAGCACAGCGAUGUGUGGAGUUGACUGUUACUAAUCGGUCGAAAGCUUGACCUU
RNAcentral lists this ribosomal RNA (1356 nucleotides) under uncultured Eubacterium sp. Its description in RNAcentral is "bacterial LSU rRNA". It matches the Rfam family "Bacterial large subunit ribosomal RNA", at positions 1553 to 2925 of the family's 2925-position model. The record is from RNAcentral. Lineage: Bacteria; Bacillati; Bacillota; Clostridia; Eubacteriales; Eubacteriaceae.